Molecule: long non-coding RNA, 2811 nt
Organism: Pristis pectinata (smalltooth sawfish)
Lineage: Eukaryota; Metazoa; Chordata; Chondrichthyes; Rhinopristiformes; Pristidae
Exons: 3
Source: RefSeq, a predicted model, not a curated record
AUAAACACUCAGCCGAGAGAAGUCAGGACAAGGCUGGUGGAGUUGCCGCAGGGAGGCGUCAGUCAGCCAAAGUGAGCCCAAAACCAGUGGAUCUUCCAACCUCCAUAUGGUGUUAGAACUUGCUGCUACUUCGGGCUCACACAUCAGCGUCUUCCACCACACCACAGCCAAGUAUUAUUGGCUGUUUGACUUUGUCUCCUCUCCUUUCAUCUGGUAUCACCACCACCACCACCAUCCAUUUGUUCUUUGAGCCCUCCGUUGUCCGCUGAUUUUGAAUGCCACUAACCCUGCUUACGUUUUGCCAGCAGUUCUGCCGUAAACUGCAACUCAUGAGCCAUCUUCCUCGGUGCGCUUUACAAGGUGGAGACCAGCGACCUCCCGCGUCAGCACUGGGUCCGGGCUGGAGCACCAAAGUCCUGAGCACCAGGGUGGAUUCGUUCUGUGUCUGUUCCCGCUGGCGCACUCAUUCGAAUGGACUCGCUGGCCUGGACUUAAAGGAUAGGAGUAGAUGGGCGGUCCUGUCUGCAAAUCUUUCUUGCAUCUAUCAAAUCAAAACAGAAAAAGAUGGAUGGAAGUAUUAUGUCAUAUUGCAUUGCUGAGCACAUGAGCAGAGCCAUCACUAUUUAAAGCCUGGAAUUGCCACUGAAAUGAAUGGGGACUUUAAUCCUAUGCGAGUGAUCCUGCAACAUCAUCUGUCACUCAGCAAGUCUCGGACUUCCACGUUCAGCAGCACAUAGGCAGACGUCUAAGACUUACUGAUGCUUCAUUGGAUGAACCACCAACUCCAGCCCAACACAGCUCACUCAGUUCUCUGCAGAGUCUAUUUCUUAUUCAGCAUGAUUAACUAAAAGGCUUUUGGAUGAAUACCUCAUCAUGCUGUGCUCUGGAACUUCCUCCUUAAAACUGUCACGGCCUUAAUAUCUGGUUUCCUGACUGACCUUUAAGCAACUUCACCUAUUAUCGGCUUGGCGUCCAUUUUUAAAAAGGACAUUAGUGAUGUUAAGCAAAGCCAAAUUGCUGCCAUUGAAUUUGCAGACUCCCAAUGAAAUAAAAAUGUGCUUCUUAUGUAUUACACACUCAAAGGCUCCAAACAAAAAUGUCAACCUAUCAACCCUGAAGGCUCAAUGAUUUGCCUGUAUAACAAACAUGUUUUCACACCAUUCAGCUAACCCAUUACCAUCAAUACCUCAGUAUAAUUUAAUAAGCAACUAGAAUAAAAUCUCAAAAUAAGGCAGCUCUCCAUGUCUUUUAAGAGGUUUGAUAGUGCAGGGUAAUUUCCACUUCAAUUCUAGUUAAUUAUGUACUUUUUUUUAAACACAAUUAAAUUAUUUAUUUCCAUAACUGCAUUUCAAAUAAAUUAAUUCUUGGGGUGUGGGGAAUGCUGGCAAGGCAGGCAUUUAUUGCUGACCUCUAGUUGCCUUGGGAGAAUUACAGUGAGUGUUCCUUUAGAACUGUUAAAGGUUUCAGCCAAUGCACUGGAAGAGAACUAUAGCUUAUGAGCAAUAAAAUAAUUGCAACCCCAAGGAAAUUGAUAAAGCAGAAUUAAAUAAUUGGUUAAAAAAAAGUGUUAGGAGAUCAUAGGGCAGAAAACUGAUGACAGCAGGAAGGUACCAAAGGACCGGCUAGAUAGGCACAAAGGUAACAAACGGAAUUCAAUCCGGAGUAGUGGUAUUUGGGAAGAGUGAACUUAUCAAAAGAAUACAAUAAUAAGCAAUAGAGUAAUAAAAGAUAUGGAAGAACAGACAGAUCUUGGAGUAUAUAUUUACAGAUCCCAGAUGAACAAUUCAAGGAGAGAAAAAACAUUGUGAAGAAGGCAUGUGAAUAAUUUUUUAAUUGGCUAACUUAAGGAAUAUAAGCACAGGGAUGUUCUGCUUAAACUAUAAAAGAAGCAGGUCGCAGCAAGUGUACGGGUUUAAUCCCCACGUUAGGGUGAGGAUGUGAUGGCACUGGAGAUGCUGGGAGGAGAUGAAUGAGCAUGUUGCCAGGUCUGGCUAUUUUUAGUUAUGACAAAAGAUUUGCUAUUUGGGGUUGCUUUCUUUAAAAUAGUGACAGCUAAGUGAAGAUUUAAAUUGAGGUCCUUAUAACGACAAGAGACCUAGAUAUAGUGUCCAGGAAGGACCUAUUUCCCUUGGCAGAGAUACCACUAACAAGGCGGCAUUAAUUUAAGAUAAUUGGUAGAAAGAUUAAAAGGGAGUUGAGGACAUUUUUCACCUUGGUAAAUGGUAUAAGGAACUUGCUGGCUGAAGGGUGAUGGAGACAGGAAUUCUUAAUGUCUGGUUAAUCAUUUGAAUGUGCCAUACCCCACAAGGCUACAAGACCAGGAGUUGGGAAUUAGAAUUAGGCAUGAUAGCUGUUUCACAAGAUGGAACUUACAUGAUGCUCUGAAUGGACCCCUUUGUGUGCUAUGAAUUUCUAUGGUCCUUAUAGUAUAGAACCUUGAAUAAUCUCUGAAUUAAUGAAAAUAGUUGAUUAUAUCAUCAGACAUUGUAUGCUUCUGUUAGAUUUUAAUAAUUUAGAAGUUCAUGUCUUUAGUCUCAAAAGAUGUCUACAGUUCAGCGUUUAGUUCUUCGGGUUAAUGGGUGUGUGCCAACAUGAUUCCAAUUAAUGUAACGGAAGCUGCUUUGUACUAAGUCUGUCUCUGCGAGGCAUAGGACUGAGUGUGGCUAGACUUGCAUCAGAUUGGAGCCUUAAAACCAGCAAAGUUCUAUUCUUUAAUGGAUUCCACUAACGACAUGCACACUUUAAGAAUUAAAAUUCUUUGCUUUCCCAAAUCUGUUACAGAGUUAGCAACCCACUACAGAAUAUACUGCA